This 106-nucleotide small nuclear RNA is filed under the name Canis lupus familiaris (dog). The record is from RNAcentral. RNAcentral also lists the same sequence under 1 other name. Lineage: Eukaryota; Metazoa; Chordata; Mammalia; Carnivora; Canidae.
GUGCUCGCUUCGGCAGCACAUAUACUAAAAUUGGAACGAUACAGAGAAGAUUAGCAUGGCCCCUGCGUAAAGGCCAUGCUUAUUAUAAGCAAGUGUUCUUAUUUUU